This is a non-coding RNA of Podarcis lilfordi (Lilford's wall lizard), 69 nucleotides long. Lineage: Eukaryota; Metazoa; Chordata; Lepidosauria; Squamata; Lacertidae. The record is from the annotation of a GenBank genome assembly.
GCAUAGCUUAGUCAGUACAGCACGAGGCUUUUAAUCCCAGGGUUGUGGGUUCAAAUCCCAUGUUGGGCA